AUUGAAUUUGUUGUAAAUAUAAUUGAAGAUUUCGUUAAUGGAUACAAACAGAGAUUAAGAAUCAGCCAAGUAUCUUAGUUAAUAAUCUGUACAGUGAAUAUAUGUUAAGAUGGCUAUAAGAAAAUACCCAAGUGAUUUAACCUCUUAAUUUAUGGAAAUAGAGAAGUGAAAAGCAAAAAUAGUCUUUAUUAUCUAUUCGAGAUUCACUUUCAACGCUCUGUCGUGGUAUCAGUUUUACUUAAUUAUUCGAAUGUUCCAAUGGUGUCAUCUCCAUCUACAUAACUGUGCUUCUUGACGCGGUACGAAUCAAUUUGUAAAUUUCGUGUAAAUUCUGUUGAGGUUUUAUCUCGGAAUAGAAAGAGGCAAUGAAUGAAUGAAUGUAUAAUAGAAAUAUAUUUAAGUAAGUUUAAGAAUAUGUUAUUAAAUAGGUUUUGGAGUUUGAUAUUUGUUGAUUCACACACAUUUAGUUGUUACGUUCUGUAUUUCACCACCAUAUACAGCCAUACGAACACACCAGAUACACUCAGAUGUUUAACACGUGGCCGACGCCAAAGACAAAGGAGCGUCGUUAGAAGUCGUACCAACUUAGCAUGCCCGUCUUUUACAACGAUGCAUCUUUAUACAAACAUGAAACCUAAUCUGUCGAACGUUGUGAUAUUUAUUUUGAUAGAACAAAAUGGAUCAUAGACGACUUAAUACCAUGUGUAUGCUAGUCCAGAACCGCACGCUAGCAGCGUUACUUUACAAAAGAGCUCCAAAGCCAUGGGCCUAUGGGUAUUUAUAUGUCGGAGAUGAAAGAACAUCGAGGCUUUUCCUUUGGAAUUUUU
Bombus pyrosoma is the source of this 827-nucleotide long non-coding RNA. RefSeq lists it as uncharacterized. The record is from RefSeq and is a predicted model, not a curated record. Lineage: Eukaryota; Metazoa; Arthropoda; Insecta; Hymenoptera; Apidae. The transcript has 4 exons.